AGUGAACGCUGGCGGUAGGCCUAACACAUGCAAGUCGAACGGCAGCACAGGAGAGCUUGCUCUCUGGGUGGCGAGUGGCGGACGGGUGAGGAAUACAUCGGAAUCUACUCUGUCGUGGGGGAUAACGUAGGGAAACUUACGCUAAUACCGCAUACGACCUACGGGUGAAAGCAGGGGAUCUUCGGACCUUGCGCGAUUGAAUGAGCCGAUGUCGGAUUAGCUAGUUGGCGGGGUAAAGGCCCACCAAGGCGACGAUCCGUAGCUGGUCUGCGAGGAUGAUCAGCCACACUGGAACUGAGAAACGGGCCAGACUCCUACGGGAGGCAGCAGUGGGGAAUAUUGGACAAUGGGCGCAAGCCUGAUCCAGCCAUACCGCGUGGGUGAAGAAGGCCGUCGGGUUGUAAAGCCCUUUUGUUGGGAAAGAAAUCCAGCUGGCUAAUACCCGGUUGGGAUGACGGUACCCAAAGAAUAAGCACCGGCUAACUUCGUGCCAGCCGCCGCAGUAA
This 506-nucleotide ribosomal RNA is filed under the name uncultured bacterium. RNAcentral's name for it is "partial 16S ribosomal RNA". It matches the Rfam family "Bacterial small subunit ribosomal RNA", at positions 29 to 523 of the family's 1533-position model. The record is from RNAcentral.